This 950-nucleotide ribosomal RNA is filed under the name uncultured Bacillota bacterium. Its description in RNAcentral is "bacterial SSU rRNA". It matches the Rfam family "Bacterial small subunit ribosomal RNA", at positions 1 to 917 of the family's 1533-position model. Lineage: Bacteria; Bacillati; Bacillota. The record is from RNAcentral.
UGGAUCCAGACUUUGAUCCUGGCUCAGGAUGAACGCUGGCGGCGUGCCUAAUACAUGCAAGUCGAACGAAACUUCUUUAUCACCGAGUGCUUGCACUCACCGAUAAAGAGUUGAGUGGCGAACGGGUGAGUAACACGUGGGCAACCUGCCCAAAAGAGGGGGAUAACACUUGGAAACAGGUGCUAAUACCGCAUAACCAUAGUUACCGCAUGGUAACUAUGUAAAAGGUGGCUAUGCUACCGCUUUUGGAUGGGCCCGCGGCGCAUUAGCUAGUUGGUGGGGUAAAGGCUUACCAAGGCAAUGAUGCGUAGCCGAACUGAGAGGUUGAUCGGCCACAUUGGGACUGAGACACGGCCCAAACUCCUACGGGAGGCAGCAGUAGGGAAUCUUCCACAAUGGGCGAAAGCCUGAUGGAGCAACGCCGCGUGGGUGAAGAAGGUCUUCGGAUCGUAAGACCCUGUUGUUAGAGAAGAAAGUGCGUGAGAGUAACUGUUCACGUUUCGACGGUAUCUAACCAGAAAGCCACGGCUAACUACGUGCCAGCAGCCGCGGUAACACGUAGGUGGCAAGCGUUAUCCGGAUUUAUUGGGCGUAAAGGGAACGCAGGCGGUCUUUUAAGUCUGAUGUGAAAGCCUUCGGCUUAACCGGAGUAGUGCAUUGGAAACUGGGAGACUUGAGUGCAGAAGAGGAGAGUGGAACUCCAUGUGUAGCGGUGAGAUGCGUAGAUAUAUGGAAGAACACCAGUGGCGAAAGCGGCUCUCUGGUCUGUAACUGACGCUGAGGUUCGAAAGCGUGGGUAGCAAACAGGAUUAGAUACCCUGGUAGUCCACGCCGUAAACGAUGAAUGCUAAGUGUUGGAGGGUUUCCGCCCUUCAGUGCUGCAGCUAACGCAAUAAGCAUUCCGCCUGGGGAGUACGACCGCAAGGUUGCAACUCAAAGGAAUUGACGGA